RNAcentral lists this ribosomal RNA (483 nucleotides) under uncultured bacterium. RNAcentral describes it as "partial 16S ribosomal RNA". It matches the Rfam family "Bacterial small subunit ribosomal RNA", at positions 28 to 507 of the family's 1533-position model. The record is from RNAcentral.
GACGAACGCUGGCGGCGUGCUUAACACAUGCAAGUCGAACGCUGAAGCUCAGCUUUUGUUGGGUGGAUGAGUGGCGAACGGGUGAGUAACACGUGAGUAACCUGCCCCCUUCUUUGGGAUAACGCCCGGAAACGGGUGCUAAUACUGGAUAUUCACUGGUCUUCGCAUGGGGGUUGGUGGAAAGGGUUUUUCUGGUGGGGGAUGGGCUCGCGGCCUAUCAGCUUGUUGGUGGGGUGAUGGCCUACCAAGGCUUUGACGGGUAGCCGGCCUGAGAGGGUGACCGGUCACAUUGGGACUGAGAUACGGCCCAGACUCCUACGGGAGGCAGCAGUGGGGAAUAUUGCGCAAUGGGCGCAAGCCUGAUGCAGCGACGCAGCGUGAGGGAUGGAGGCCUUCGGGUUGUGAACCUCUUUCGCUCAUGGUCAAGCCGCAACAAUGGUUGUGGUGAGGGUAGUGGGUAAAGAAGCGCCGGCUAACUACGUG